This is a non-coding RNA of Kogia breviceps (pygmy sperm whale), 1359 nucleotides long. The record is from RefSeq and is a predicted model, not a curated record. NCBI's taxonomy places the organism in Eukaryota, Metazoa, Chordata, Mammalia, Artiodactyla, Physeteridae.
GCUUCCCUGGUGGUGCAGUGGUUAAGAAUCUGCCUGCCAAUGCAGGGGACAUGGGUUCAAGCCCUGGUCCAGGAAGAUCCCACGUGCUGCGGAGCAACUAAGCCCGUGCACCACAACUACUGAGCCUGCACUCUAGAGCCUGCGAGCCACAACUACUGAGCCAGCAUGCCGCAAUUACUGAAGCCCGUGUGCCUAGAUCCCAUGCUCCACAACAAGAGAAGCCAUAGCAAUGAGAGGCCCGUGCACCACAACCAAGAGUAGCCCCCGCUCGCCGCAACUAGAGAAAGCCCGCGUGGAGCAACGAAGACCCAACGCAGCCAAAAAUAAGUCUGUUACAUUUCCCAGAAUGGUUCCCAGCGCUGGAGAUAAUUCCUUUUCGGAGAACCUACAUUUCUCACCUGCUGAUUGCAAUUAGCCACUGCCAGCUGGGGCCUGGUAUGCAGCUGAAACGCUAACAAGAAGUGGAGACCACGCGGAACCCGGACAGGGCAAAGGAUGUGAACAAGCCAACAAAGAGACUUGAGAUAUUAGAAAAAUCCUGGAAGCCAGCAGACCUGGAUUUCAAUCCUCAUUCUCCUUAACUGAUCUGGCUAUUCACUUCCCUUUCCUGAGCCUUGGUCCCUCAUGUUUCCUGGAGGGUUAAACUAGACAGUCUCCCAGAGACUUUCCAGCACUAACAUGCUAUGCUUCCAUGGACUUGUGAAUUCUGCCAAGUGAUCGUAAUUGUGAGGUGCCAGCACCAUGACUCCCAACAAAGUCUCCUGUAAACUCUACAGGAGUGGAGUUGGCAAACUGCCCAGCAGACUCACAUGGAAAGUGCACUGGGCUCGAGUCUCUAACGGAGGGCCGCUUCAGCAUCCUGGAACUUAGACCCAUUGGUUGCAUGCCCCUUCAUAAGUCUUAAUGGAUAAAAACAGAAAGAAAUUACUGGGCUUCUGCUACCUCAAAAAAGUCUGAAGCCAAGACAAUGCAGGCAAUCCAGAAACUCAAGUCCCUGAAAGUAUGUUGUCGCUACUCUACCUGUAUUCCUUCAACACUUAUUGCAGUCCUUGCCAACAACGUCAUUUUGCAAGCACCCAAAACUCUCCACCUGAUGGAAUCACUUCGCUGAAGCAUGGGCAGGCCAGAAGUGCUAAGGGGUUAAUGCCUCCAGGAAUGGCGCUCAGCCAAUGAUGGGUAGAGUUGAAGGCUUCCCAUCCCUCUUUGAUCAUCUUGGGCACUUCCUGGUCUUUUCAUCAUCUGUUACCACCACUAGCAUCUCAAAAUUCCUCCUUACCGUCAGAUGUCUUGAUCUAUAGGAAAACAAUGUUUCCCCAUUUAUCACCCUCUUACAGAAGAAUUUCUCUUGCAGCAACUUUG